Long non-coding RNA from Helianthus annuus (common sunflower), 2493 nucleotides. RefSeq lists it as uncharacterized. The record is from RefSeq and is a predicted model, not a curated record. The transcript is spliced from 8 exons. Lineage: Eukaryota; Viridiplantae; Streptophyta; Magnoliopsida; Asterales; Asteraceae.
UGUAACAAUCUCAAGCUUUUGGCUCUUCAAUGAAUAUUGGUGUUGCUACAUUCUUGUGUUGAUCUUGUGCUCAAAUCUGAUAUCCAAGGGUGGAGGCUAGAACCAAUUAAGAUGAAAGAAGGUUGCUGGGGGAGAUUUAGUUGGCUAAAAAAGGUCCACCUUCACUCUGACAGUUCAUCUUCAAACGCUAUCUUGCGUACCUCUGUUAUGAAUUCUGACCCUAAUUAUGUUCUUUAUUUGCAAUCUAUGAUCAUAUUGAUUCUUCAAUUCUACAAUGAAUGAUUGAAGGUCUGCUUUGACUUUUGUAUAAGGAGUAGGUGAGAAAAGGUUGGGUUGGCUAAUAAGUUAGAAUAGAUACUUUUGUAUAAGUGUCGGCUAUCGGCUUGCGCUGUUUGUAAACGUCUGUUUGUAAUAUUGUAUAUUGUAAUAAUACUCAUUGUUUUAAUAGUUUGUUCAAUAAAAGGUAACUUGUGCCAGACUAAUGAAAGAAUGAAACUGUCCCAAAAUGGGAGCCGGAAUGUGAUGUUCCAAUCCUUUAAUAUGUAUUUAUCAGACCUUAUGAUACUGUUGUGUUUUUGUUGUUUCAGAUAAAGCUAACUGCAAAGAGGAGGUAGCACUUGAGCUUCGUGCAAGUCAGGAAGCACUUCAAAAUCUUCAAUCCAGUGGAAAAUUUUUCAAGCUAGAGACUAUAAACAAGUUAGAAGGCACUAAAUGUGACAACAAAUGAAGUUGUUGAUGCACUUAAAAGGAGGGUGAAAAUGGAUGCACAUGACCCGACUCAAAAGGAAAUGAGCACGAAGAAAAAUGAGCGUAGAGUAAAUUAGGCAGAAUAUGAGAAACUGGUGGGCUAUGAGUAAAAUGCCAUGCUGAGAUAGGCAACUGAAGCCAUGAGGACACACUCCUACUCUGCCACCGGAGCCACUGGCCAUCCAUCCUAUGGAGAGCCACCAGAUGUUGGCCUUGCCGAGACAUAGCUGGGGCGCCUGCUGAAACUAUUGUGGAAGGGAUUCUUGGUUCUGGUCUCAAUGGGUUAUGAUCAAAAUAGAAUAUCAGAUCAUUCGGGAUAUUAGGGACGACGCUUGGGUUCUUCUUCUACGGCGAUAGCAGAGGGCGACAAAGCAGGGGAUUCCGCCGGCGAUUCUUCUGUCGGCGACUCUCCGGCGACAUACAGCAGCGAUUCCGGCACAACAGCGAUUCCGGCACAGCGGCGAUUCCGGCACAACAACGACUCCGGCACAGCAGCGAUUCUUUUGUAGAUUGGAUUGAUUCAAGAUGGAAGAUGAUAAUAUAGAUGCACCAACAUGGGAGAACAUGGCUCAAUCACCAACACUUGAGCCAAAUGUUUUUCAAAUAACAUCCAAGUGUAAGAUAAAAUUAAAAUAUGGAGGCUGCUUUCGAUUAGCUAAGAACUCGGCUAGGAAAUGGUAUUGUUUUGGUUAUCAAAAAUGUAUUUACAUUGAUACAUACUCAUACAACUUUGAUGAUUUAGUUGAAGAGGUUACAAAUCAUUAUCCACCAAAUAGGGAUCUCGUUUACUCUAUUUAUUUCGUUGACAAGUAUGCCAUAGAUCAAUCUAUUAUAAAGCUUGAUUCUCAUGAGAAAUUUGAGUUUAUGAUUAGAAUGUAUGAAGUGGAAAAAGAACUUGUCGUUUAUGUGACAACGAAUAGUAAUCAUGAGACUUCUUCAGUUAAUCAAAGGGGUCAAGAUGAAGUGGGUGACGAACCACACAGUGAAGAUGAAUCAGAGUAUUCAUUAAGUGAUGAAAGCUAUCAUAGUUAUUAUAGUAGUGAUGAUGAAGUUGAGGAACAUAACUCCCAAGAGGAAACUUAUUUUUCCAUGUUAUAUGUAGAAUUUGGGCGAGUACGGAGUUUGUAGAAGUAGUGAAAAUCGAGCUGAAGUGAAACGCGGCGAAAAGCGUUGGGAUGUCGUACUCGAUGAGCAAAUGUACUUGUCGGGUUUGGCAAGUUAAAGGUAUUCCAUGUCUACAUACAACUGCUUUUAUUGCUUUCACAAGGGAUGUAAAUUGGGAGAAGUUUGUUGAUUCUUAAUUCACUAUUGAGAAAAUUAAAUCGGCUUAUGCUCUAGAAGUUGCUCCGAUGCCUACAAAGGAUCAAUGGGUGCAUGUAGAUGAUGAGGAGAAGAUAUACCCACCUAUUAUCAAACGGCCACCCGGAAGACUAAGAAAGGAGAGAAUUAGAGCAAAUGAUGAGCAAAGAAAAAAAUAUAAGUGCCACCGGUGUGGUGGGUAUGAUCACCAACAAAAAAAAUGCAAAAAAUCGGCAUCGCAAGAUCAACCAUCAACAAGUAAACGGGGAAAAAGAACAAAAACAUGUGAAAAUAACUAAUCAAAGUCGAGCAAUUUACUUUUUUGGUACCAAAUGGUGAAAACUUUGGCAUUUGUCUUUUUCAUUUUUUGGAUAUUGUUACAUGAAAUUUUUGUGGUUGUUCUUUUGGGAUGAUUUUUUGGUACCGUAAUGGAUUAAAGUUUUGGCA